This 497-nucleotide ribosomal RNA is filed under the name uncultured bacterium. RNAcentral's name for it is "partial 16S ribosomal RNA". It matches the Rfam family "Bacterial small subunit ribosomal RNA", at positions 28 to 507 of the family's 1533-position model. The record is from RNAcentral.
GAUGAACGCUGGCGGCGUGCCUAAUACAUGCAAGUCGAGCGAACAGAUGAGGAGCUUGCUCCUCUGACGUUAGCGGCGGACGGGUGAGUAACACGUGGAUAACCUACCUAUAAGACUGGGAUAACUUCGGGAAACGGGAGCUAAUACCGGAUAAUAUCUUGAACCGCAUGGUUCAAUAGUGAAAGACGGUUUUGCUGUACUUUAUGGUUGGAUCCCGGCGGCAUUGGUAAGUGGGGAGGGUAAGGGCCUACCAAGGCAAGGAUCAGUAGCGGACUGAAGAGGUUGAUCGCCCACACUGGAACUGGGACACGGUCCAUACUCCUACGGGAGGCACCAGUAGGGAAUCUUCCGCAAUGGGCGAAAGCCUGCCGGAGCAACGCCGCGUGAGUGAUGAAGUUCUUCGGAUCGUAAAACUCUGUUAUUGGGGAAAAACAAAUGUGUAAUUAACUAUGCACGUCUUGACGGUACCUAAUCAGAAAGCCACGGCUAACUACGUG